This 133-nucleotide small RNA is filed under the name Pseudomonas sp. GV071. RNAcentral describes it as "Pseudomonas sRNA P18". It matches the Rfam family "Pseudomonas sRNA P18". Lineage: Bacteria; Pseudomonadati; Pseudomonadota; Gammaproteobacteria; Pseudomonadales; Pseudomonadaceae. The record is from RNAcentral.
GGCGGCGUAUUGCUCAGCCCGUUUCUGUUGUAUGCGCUGCUGGCGCUGCUGUGCACCGGGCUGUUGCGCCUGGGUUUGCAGCGCGUCGGAGUGGCGCAUUGGAUCUGGCACGAGGCGUUGUUCGACACUGCUU